AACGAACGCUGGCGGCAUGCCUAACACAUGCAAGUCGAACGAGACCUUCGGGUCUAUUGGCGCACGGGUGCUUAACGCGUGGGAACCUGCCCUUAGGUUCGGAAUAACUCCCCGAAAGGGGUGCUAAUACCGGAUAAUGUCUUCCGACCAAAGAUUUAUCGCCUUUGGGUGGGCGCGUGUUGGAUUCGCUAGUUGGUAGUGGAAAAGCAUACCAAGGCGACGAUCCAUGGCUGGUCGGGUAGGAGGCUCAUCCACAAUUGGACUGAGACACGGACUAGAAGCGUACGCGAGGGAGGAGUGUGGAAUACUGGACGCGGGGCGCAAGUGUGAUAACGCAAUGCCGGGUGAGUGAUGCAGGCCUUAGGGUUGUAAAGCUCUUUUACCCGGGACGAUAGUGACAGUAACGGGAGAAUAAGCACCGGCUAACUCCGUG
RNAcentral lists this ribosomal RNA (433 nucleotides) under uncultured bacterium. RNAcentral describes it as "partial 16S ribosomal RNA". It matches the Rfam family "Bacterial small subunit ribosomal RNA", at positions 29 to 507 of the family's 1533-position model. The record is from RNAcentral.